UACGUAGGGGGCAAGCGUUGUCCGGAAUCAUUGGGCGUAAAGCGCGUGUAGGCGGCUCGAUAAGUCUGCUGUGAAAGUCCAGGGCUCAACCCUGGGAUGCCGGUGGAUACUGUCGAGCUCGAGUCCGGAAGAGGCGAGUGGAAUUCCUGGUGUAGCGGUGAAAUGCGCAGAUAUCAGGAGGAACACCAAUGGCGAAGGCAGCUCGCUGGGACGUGACUGACGCUGAGACGCGAAAGCGUGGGGGGCAAACAGG
This 253-nucleotide ribosomal RNA is filed under the name uncultured bacterium. RNAcentral's name for it is "partial 16S ribosomal RNA". It matches the Rfam family "Bacterial small subunit ribosomal RNA", at positions 524 to 776 of the family's 1533-position model. The record is from RNAcentral.